CACACAGGAGAAGGUGCUACCAAAAUCCCAGUGGUCUACCUUGAAGCAGGAUUUGCUUUAGUAAAAGUUAAACGUUAUAGUGAUGCUCUUUUGGUCUUUGAGGAGGUGAUCACUGCUUGAUGCUGAUGAAAAACAAAAUGUAGCUGAUUCUGAUGUUGUUCUUGAAAAUGUGGACUUUGUUUUAUGGGCUGGUGCAGCCCGUCUCCUUCAAGCACAAGAUCACUAGAAACUGAAGAACACCAAAGAGGCAAUUACAAAUUUCACAAGAGCGAUUAAUAAUUUGGUGAAGGUGUUCAUUACACAGAAAGUCAAGUAAUCUCUCUCUUUCCAGUCUUACUGCUGCUCUAACAAAAUUGUGUUUUCAUACUAAUCAUAUCCGCUUUUGUUUGUGAAGUGUUGCCCGGUAAUAAGAUCUUUGGAAAAGCAGACUUAUAGAUCUAUUUAACUAUUAGAUAUUUUUAUCCUGGGGUCUUUAAGGGGUAUGUAUCUAUUAAUAACAGAUCUACUUUCAAGAGAUGAAGUAAGCUGUUUUUCUGUCUUUAGCCUACUGAGGCCACAUUUGAGGUGUGCACUUGCUUCAUGUACCAUUACUUACACAGUUUCAUCAAACUUUCAGACUGGAAUCAAAAACAUCUUGUAAACACUGAAGCAAUGGUUGAAAGAAUGGCGACUUUGGAAGCAGCAAAAGGACAAGCACUGGCUGGCAGAGGGCUCUGCUUUCUGGAAGGAGGUUGUAAGAGUAUUAAGAUGUUGCUAUCUGAGGUCUUGUGGAGGCUUGAUCGUAGAGAGGAAGCAUCAGCACACUGGAAAGAAGCCAAUUAUAAUUCAGAUGCACCUAAAAAGCUGCCGCUGUAUUUGCAGCUAUGGCCAGAUGACGCAGUUUUUGACUUCAAUGAGUUUUAGAAUAAGAUUGUGGAAUACAUUCAAGCCAAAAAGACACGAGAGAUGUCAGAAAUGAUGCUCUCUACUAAAUGUACUUUUUUGGGGCGUCCAAACCACAGCUACAUACAGGAAACACAGUUUGUGUUGUCUAAAUUCCUUUUCAGAUGUACCCAUGUAACAUUCCAUUUUGUAUAUCUAUUGUAUAUCUAAUGCUUGCCAAUUUCUCUGAAUAGCAUCUUAUUUUUGAAUCUAUGAUCUUUUCAAAUAAAUAAUGUUUAUAAUGAAAAGGAUUUGUACAAAGUAAUGCCAUCAAGUUAGCAUUUUUAAACAUUUGCUCAUAAAAAAAGUAAUUUCUGAUAAAUGACUAAAUCAUGACA
Carassius auratus (goldfish) is the source of this 1259-nucleotide long non-coding RNA. RefSeq lists it as uncharacterized. The record is from RefSeq and is a predicted model, not a curated record. The transcript has 4 exons. NCBI's taxonomy places the organism in Eukaryota, Metazoa, Chordata, Actinopteri, Cypriniformes, Cyprinidae.